UUAGUCGGGCAAGUUGGACGCGUCAAAGAGAUCCAAGGUGAACCUCAAAGUACUUUAUCGAAUGGUAAGAAAGUGGCGAUAUAGGAGAAGGAACGCAAGGGUCAUCGAUGGGUUACGAAGAGUGCCGAUAUGAAGAAAGGAUGUAGAUAAGGAAAGGAGGAUGAGAGAAAACGAAUUUUAUAGGAGAAAGAAUUGCACAUUAGUUCCACCACAUUGGAUCUCAGAUAGCUCCUUUGCUACGUGCAGUUGCCUUGAAAUUAAAUAUCCUUAGUCAUGUACAGUGUUCGAAAUAUUACAUUUUUCUUUACGAACGUGUCACAGUGAAGUUAAGGAUAUAUCGAGUCGAGUAAUAAGUUCGUUCACCUGUCGCUAACGUAUACGUAUCGAAGAAUGUUAUAAAAAUUGUUUAACGAAUGCAAAAAUACAGAACGUACUGACGAGCAGAAUGAGACUCCAAGCUGCGAUAAUUUUUAACGAAAGACAUAAUUAAAUGCCUCUUCGGCUACGAUGUCCUUUUCAUUCUUUUACGCGGGGAAAUCCUCAUGGACACCUCAUCGCUCUUCUGGGAAGCGGCGGGAUAGUGCCAGACUUACUAACUAAAACCCCACGGUGGCCUACCUGACGCUUAACAGGGUUGCCCCGGGACCUCUUUCGAAUUGCUGCCGGAGCACUCCUGCGUCUUCUUCCAUUCUGAGGAAGCCAUUCCUCAGGUUUAGUUUGGUCAUUGAGAGAGGCCACCCCUUUCAACGCUAUCUCCUGGGCCGUCAUGCAAGUCCGAGGAGGACCUAGGGUGCAAGGCCGCCCUUCGGCGCGGAAUCCUACAAGGGUAGGAAGUUCUCUCCGCCCGCUCCUUUGCGAGCAUUACUUCUUCUCAAUAGGAGCGGACUGCGAGGAAUUCCUGUUGCCCUCUCAGCAUCUUCCACGACUGACGAGGAGUCCAAACUCUCGUCAGUCGUUAGUCGCAGGACAUGGCGGGAAGCCUCCCACACCGGACAAAACUUCAGCGUGUGUUGGGCCGUGUCCUCGGCUUCUCCGCAGUGGUGACAGGUGCUCGUCGCCUCUCUUCCAAUUUUCUGUAGGUACUCACCGAAUACUCCAUGCUCGGCAAACACCUGCGUCAUCCAGAAGGAUAACGGGAGCCUUCCACGUUCCCUCCAAACCUCCCAGCUCGGAAGAACCUCGUUGAGCUGCUGAGAGUAAAAUAUCGGCUGCCUGAAAUUCUUCCUAAUUCCUAUCGAUUGAUAUUUUUGGAUACAACGUUUCAUAAUGGCAUGUUUCAGUUGUGUAUGCAGUCGUCGUGUUAAAACGUGCAGCAACGUGAGUUGAGAUAGAUAUAUUGAACAUGUUUUUCUAUUAUUCAUAACUAACUGGAAAAAUCGAAGCCGAUAGGAUGUACGUUCGUACGAAGUUUUUUCCUUUUUUUUUUUUUUGUUUAUUUUAACGUACGUUCAUCUCGUGAAAUACAGGCAUGCAUUUAUGAAGCAUCCUGCGCACGGAGGAAACAAUCGUCGAUUGCUCGCCGUAGAUUGCUCGGCUUCCUCUAACAGGCGUGGCCCCGAAGCAAAUUUCCGAUUACCCUAGCCGGGCUAACAUUUACAUACACCAUACAUUUGCCUCUCUAUGCAGCGAUCUGCAGCAAAUCGCGGGGGCUCGCGUUGACCUCCAUCGAGGAGAAUCCUCUAGGAAUCAAGACUAUAGGUAUCCAUUCAGUCUGCACACCAUCGGAACUGUCUGUGGCCAAUAAAAAUACCAAAACGUUUUAUCGCUACGAUGAAUGGCAAAGCUGUAUCGAGCUCGCAAAUUGCCAGGUUCUCGCCAGACGUUGCGAUUUUCAUUCUUUUCCUUCGUUGUUUCAGUCUUAUUCCCCUUUCAUUGUGCAAACUUGGUUCUCCGACUGCCGAUAUCGUGAAAACUUAAAAAACAUGCGCCAAUUCGUCGAUCGCGAUGCACCGGCUGCAGGAUGUUUCCCUCGUGGGAGAACUCCGCGCUACUUUGCUGUUGGAAUUCCAUUGAUAAUUAAUGUGCUCACGCACGCACGACACUUUUGACGAGUAAGCGCAGGAGCUGUACUUUUAUCGCGCCGCUUGCAGUUCUAUGAAUCCGGAAGAAUACAGGAACCCGCGGCAGUCUGGAAAUCUGUUAAUCUGAUCCGUUACGACCUGAAAAUACCAUCCAGACUUAGUAUGCGCCAGUCUUCUACUAUCUUCAUCUCCAUUUCGCUAUCGCGCUUCCAGUGACCGCACGAUAACACUUUCUCUCUCUGUACCAGAUUUUUGGAAAUUCCAUCUCACUUCUUCGUAGGUUGAGCUAUAGGAGUCUCUAAAGUCUCUAAUCCAUUGCAGACAUCCGUCUGAACAAUACAAAAAGGAAAUCGCGUCAGUCCGAAAAUUGCCGUCAAUCGAUUCAUUUGCUUCUUUAGGACGAAUGUUAUCACGAGGACAGGGUUACCACGGGAACAUCGAAGUUUGCUGAGGCAGUUAAAAGUUGGGCGGCGACGGUAGAGCCGGAAUAGUUCGGUUACAGUCGAAAAUGGCAAUAAAAUCUCGCGCGGCGCUCACGCCUGGAAUGAUUUAUCCCUAACGAAUUCGAAGAUUCGGCUUUCUUGCUUGUGACGGUUCGACCGUUAAGAUAACUGGCUUAAUUGCCUCGUUCGCUGUGGUUCGCUCCCGGAGAGGCGAAAUUGAAGACGACGAAGUUAGACGCUAACGAGCUUUGCGAUCGGUUUCCUGCGUUUCCUCGCGAAUUUUAGUUCUAUAUCCUAGAGUUGGGUCUCGUCGUUGGAUAUAUCCUCCACUUUGAUUUUGCACAUUUGUACGCUGAGACGCGGCAAUUGGCGAAAUUAUAAAAAUUCUAUGCAUCGAAAGCGAAGCUUGGAACGUUGGUGAAAUUGGAAAGCGAGUGGAACGAUGGAGUGAAACGCGAGACAGAUAAUCGCGUGAAACGAGAAAGCGAAGCGGGGCAAAUCGCGAGGACAAAAGACCGAGCCUUAGAUUGAGUGCGAACUCGCUAAACAGACUGCGGCAAGUUGCCGCGUACACCUUCCUUCUAUCUCGCCUUCCUGGCCUUCUCGCGUCAGGCGCAUUUGCAUUUGAAAUCGAGAUGAACCUUUGGAUAAAAGGAACGUCCCGUUCCACCGCUAUCUUCAAACACUGGUUUACUUGUAUCGUGUGAAAGAAGGGGCCAGGAAAGCUCGAUGUGGCCAGAGAACGAGAAAACACGAAGACAAAGAGGGAUGAACGGCGCGGCUGGGAGACAGAGGAAAGUGCGGAAAUUUCGCAACUUUUCCCUGGCGCGACUAUCCGCGCUGUAACUCGUACAGGUUUUCGCGAGCUCAACCUGCGCAGACUCUUCGAAGAAAGGAGGCAGACUGCACCCUAUUGUUUAGCGCGGGAAUGGAUGCGAGCUUGGUGGAAUACAAAAUAGAGACGUGACCUACCUCGAUCGUCGUAAGCGUCGAUAGAGCCAGAGGUGAUGAAAUGGUGGAAGGAACGCUGCCAGAUAAGGAGAGAGAGAGAGAAAAGAAGAAAGAAAUCGCGGGAAGAACGCAUCGUGAUGACGACACUCCGACGCAUAGCGUCACACAGAUCGGAGGAGAACAACUGGAUUAAACACUGUUUCGCAAAUGAUUUCACACGCACAGUUUCACUCCAUACCCAGUGUCCUUUCAUCGUGCAAACACUAUUUACGGAGAAUUCCAUUCCACUCAAUAUUUUCUAUUCGUUACACCGUAUAAAUACAACAAAGAAACGCAACGCGGUGUGUCGACGUUGAAUUUGUACGAGUCAUUUUUCGCGUUAAAAACCGACAUUACCCGAGCGACAAUCGACUCUAGUACAAUUGCAUAUCGACAAGCGUUUCCGUGGUGCGAAAAAUCGUUGGAUUUCAACGAAGAAUCGCAGCAAACCGGAAGUUGCUUGAUAGAAGCUGCAGCAACGAAACCAAUAAACGGUGGAAAAUAGAAAAACGCAGGAAUUCGCAAAGUAUCGUGUUCGAUCUUAAAACUGAAUGGAACGCUGAUGAAAAUCGUCAGGGAUGGUGGUUGCUGAAGUAAACCGAUUGCAGAAGAGAAGGUAAAAGAGCCGAGGAUAUAAGAAGAUGAAGAAAAGGGUAGAACGAUUUGGCAACAGAGGCGCGGAUAAAUAAAAGCGAGAGAAAGAAACGGCGUGGAGGACCGUGCCAGAGUGUACAACUACGUGUCGGGAAAGAAAAUGAAGAGAGUCGAGUCUGCGCGGCUUCGUAUCUGUUGUUCAAGCUACCGUUGAAUCUAAUGACGCGAAAUUCCGGUUGCAUUCGCACCGGUUUGAAGUUUUAUCAUUCGACUUGGCUGGAAAUUUUUGAGCGAUCGUUUCUCUGGCGCGCUCUGCGUGCAAACCUUCUUCCGCUCUCUUUGCUCUAUCUUCUUUGCUCGUUGCUGUUCUUUGACUGUGCGCUAGCCGUGAUUGCUUCGUUGCGCUUGCUCUUUGUCGGGAAAGAGGAAUGAAACGUCGCUGUUGGCGUAGCAGAUCGAAAGGGAAUGGCACGACUGACCAACUGUGGCUCAACGUUCAAAUAUUAUAAUGCUCGUCGAGUGGUUCGUCGAUCGAGAAACUCGCUUCAAAGCGCUGGCAAGUGUGGCGAUAAAUUCUGUUGAUUUUAACGGCACUACCGGCAGCUAGAGAUGCGAAAUAUCCGAAGAGAAAAUAAAAUUCUCCGACUAUUCUCAGAGCUUUUAUAUGAAACGAGCUUUUUUCUCCUUGUCUGUAAUAGCUUCGCUGUAUUGUUUUUGACUCUAGUUCGUAGAACGACGAUAUAAAUUUCGGGCAAUCGUGCGCGAAACUACAGACAGGAAUCAGAACGCAGUUACAAUAACGUUGUAAAUUGAAAAAGAGGUCUGUGCACGAAAUCGUUCGUGCUCGACAUACAUCCUAGAGCUGCAAUCAACCGCACGGUCGUGUAACAGCGCUUUGCAUGCAAGAAAUUGGAUCGCUACGAAAGGUAAUCUGAUUCCGACCCUAAAAGAAUGUCGUUAAAAUCCUUUAUUUCGCGCUGUCGUGCUACUAAUCGCUUUAUAUCUAGACUCGCAUCAGCAUGCGACUUGCAACGAUUUCCUUCCGUGAAACGCGUUGAUAUCUUACCACUGUUUCUUCCAUGCUGCCUAAUAAAACCCUUAUUUUCGACACAAUGCAAAUGAGCAAUUAACGUAAUUAGUUACAUGUUGGAGAUGGAUACACGGUAAAAUAGUCGUUAGACUCUAAAAAGAUAUUGAAACGUUAUUCGAGAGAUUUGUGAUUUGAAAAGUCGGAUAGACCAUUGGAGAAAACGGUCGAUCGAAAACAGUUUCUUCCGAAAGAUUUUGUAACGGCAAGCAUGAACAUUUGUAAUAAUUUACAAUAUAAGUCGUAAACUCGGUACUAGACUUAACAAAUAACUGUUAUGGGCUGCCUUCCGAUCGAUUAAUCUGUCGUCCGCAAUUAACGAGAAACUUUUUUAAUUAAAUGAACCUUCACUUAUAAUUAAUUUUCAACGUCUUACGAUGAAUACACGUUUUUCUCCUGUUGGUCUUCUUAUUAGUUUCCGACGAUUUAUUUUCACGGUUCUUGAUUACUUCUUAAUCAUUUCGCUGUGCAAUUAAUAAUCAACUUUAUAAACAGAUUUUAUCGUUCACCGUGAAAAGCAAGAAUUUAAUAAUGAACAGUAUGCACUUAAUGCAAAAUUUUAAUAAUGUAUAUUUAAUCUCUAGCCGAUGCAACGAAUAUUAAACAGUUUCCAAUAAUUUCUAGAUUUAUAUUUCAAAAUUGCCGAUCAAUUUCAUCUAGUCACCUAUGCGUAGCAAUGUGUGAUUAGAUGUAGUAACAAUCGAUGCGUAUCGCGUAAGUAGAACGCUGCGUCAGUGAUAUAAGUCAACGUUUAAUCAGCCAUGCUGUAUACCGCAUUUACCAGGCAUUGCGUUUCACGUAGGUCGAACGAAAAAUUCUUGGAAUGGAAUGAAAAGACACUCUGUACGGUUUGCAAACAAUUUUUAUAUUCCAAUAUAACGUAUCGAAGCUAUUAUAGCGUCGUACAUACUUUCCUUCGCGAAGACUUGCAAAAGAUAUUCACCAACGGUUUCUUCGACGUCCUCGUCUCGCAAGAAUUUCUUUUCAGCGGGAAAAUUUUUAACCGUGGAGAUAAAUGGAAGUCAGAGACAACUAAAUCUAGCGAGCAAGGCGGAUGUCGCAAUAAAUUGUACUUCGUUCAUUUUGUACCUUAGAAGCUUGUACGAGGACGUUCGUUACCUCUCUAGAAGACUACUUUUCUUCGUUUUGUUAAAUCUACGUCGAUCGUUUCUAAUCCUCGUAGCAAAUAUAACCUCACGACACAGGUUAAUUUUCUCUAGCUCCUUCUCGUAGUUUGCUCUUAACUGACCUUAUUCUCGAGUGCAUACUGUCACCUACUCCUCAGAAGUACGCGCGCAGUUCCUUACGAAACUAACCAGCUCUCUGGCCUGCUGCAACACUAAAUAAAUCAGAAUUAAACACCAGAGCUAGGAGAAUAUUCAAAUUUCACUCCAACGUGUCUAUACACUUUAGGCAAAUACAUUCGAAGACCAUAACGAAACUUAUUUCCAAAAAAUGUUAGAUCGAUUAAUAAGUCUAUUCGCGUUUCCUUGCGAGAACACAGGGGACGUGUUAUUGCUUUCGUACAAAAUGUGUCGAGAAAUACCUGAUUUAUCCCAUCUGACUGUAAAUGUAUAUACACCUGUGUGUUUAGGAAGAUAAUGUUCCGAGUUGCGUCAGCGGUUCGUGAACGUUACACUUCAGUCCUUCGAGACAGACACGAAACUCUGCCCUGUUCCAUUAAUCAUCGUGAAACCUUGCAAUCUAAAAUAAAUAUACGUCUUCCAUAAAAAGUUGCAAUCUAUAUGUAUUUUAGAUUCUUUAAAUAAUUUUCACAUUUCUUGAAACUCUACAUUGGUAGAAAGCGAGCGAAUUUAUUACUCGGUUCACUAUGUAAUCAUCAGCGUGCAACAUAAUAGAAAGAAACGAUAUCCAGCCGCAAUUACGUAACAAUCAGCUAAUGCACGAUUCAUUGGAAUCUCUCUCACUUUUCUCGUUACCAAUAUUCUAUACUCGCUAAGUCCAAGCACGUUCUUCCAUCCGCCAAUUCUAUCGCGUUGUUUCUCCCGAUGAAUACGAGCGACGCAUUAGUCCCGGAAGGCUGCAUAAUUACAAAUGACGAAACUAUUACGAGGUUCGGUGGAACUUUUGCGCGAACCAAGAGCCGAAAGCUCAACUAUUCGCCGGCGUAUGUAACGCGCACAGAUACAACGCGCGUACAAGUACACGUACACGUACGCUGGACGAGCAGGACCUCACGCUGACAAAUUGUUAUCGCGACGUUUCCAGGAUAACGAAAUACAUAAUUCAGCCAGCGUUAGUGGCGCGGAACAUUCAGACGCCUCUAGGCUAUUGUCGAAACGCCCGGCGCGACACGCUGCAACGAACGAAGGAUUUUGUAUCGUGGAUUUUGUCAACGUUGCGUUGGUCGGGGGCGAAUACGUCCAAAGUUUAACUGACAGCCGUUCAAGAUGCGUAUAGGAGAUGGAAGAGGCGACGACGAGCGUCGAAGUGUCCCGUCGUGAACACCAACGACGAAACCGCUCUGACACGGAAUUAAUUAAUCAUUUAUUUAAGGACGGCAAAGAAGCGGCUGGUCGAUGAAUAAACGAGCCGCCAGAUUUAUUAAAAUAUUGCCGGAUCGAAUCGGCUCUGUUGGAAAUUGUUAAUUUCUGCUGGAAAUAGAAUUUCCGAUUGACCGUUGGGCUGCGUUCGAAGUAUCGUAGAUGGAGCGAAGUUUGCUUUCGAGAGGUUUAAUCGAUCGUUUAUUUAUUCAGGCAGCGAUGGAAAUUGGUUGGAACGAGAAAUAAUAUUGCGCGUAGAUGUUGGUCUCCCUUUGCAAUUUAAUGUCUUUGACAUCAGAAAUAGGUUGUCGCCUGGAUUUCGUGCUGGAUACGGUGCAUCUUACAACGACGUUCGUUGUUCCCUCGAAACCGCAAUGUUAGACUCGCGCGGCGUCAAAUAGAAUUGUCGAAAGAAUUUUUAAAGAGGGGGGGGGGGGGAGGCGGAGCGGCCGAAGAAAUCCUCGCGCCGUACGUACAGCGAGAGAAAAAAAGUGGAAUUCCUGUCAAACGUCAAAGCGGAAAUUAUUUUUCGACGUCGUCCGCUAGGAUGUUUCUUCCUCGCGUGACGUAAAUGUGGCGGAAAAGCUCGCACGAAAAGACGCGGAAUAAAGUGAAACGGUAGCGGGAUACCUCAUUCUCGGAAUUUUCGGAAGCAUUUCCGAGAACACACGUUCGAGCUUACUCGCUUCAUUCCUUCGUUCUGCUCUGUCAAAUUAUUCAAUUCAUUUCCGCGCGGCUUCCAACUAACUCGAACUCCUCCGAUUGUCUCCCACCCUACUCCUUCCUUUUUCCUCGUGACUUUCAGCCCACACCAAUGACGUUCAACUUAAAUGCAGAUUUGCCCUUUCGUCGCGGAUUUCACGUUAUCGCUGUUAUCGGAACAAUCCCGAAGAGGUUGCUUCGUGUUCGACAUGGAAAAUAGACCGCACAUAAUUAAUGCAUUUCGGGUUCGUUGUCCUCGCGUUGCUUCGUUUCAUCGAUAUGUGUAUUUCGGAUUUCUUUCGUUUAAUACUUUAAUAUCCGCGAUUUAAUAAACGCUUCGUUAUUCGAGGGAUAAUAAACGCGAUAUUUUUUAGUGUAAAUAUCUCUUAUUUUUUCGCGGAGUUUUUCUGCAUUUAUUUUUAAAUUUAUCUUCCUUUUUUUAACAUUUUAGCACGCUAUCUAUUUUCUCUUAGCGUUCCGCGAGCCCUUAGUUUAUUUUGCAAUAAUAUUCGUGUAACGUGCAAGCGUUAGUCGAAUAUUUUUCUCAAGUAUCUCGCUAAUCGAAAAUUCAGCGUCGAUGGUCUUUUACUGUAUUAUUCGCACAAUUUUCAAUGGAUAAUUUGCAGGGGAUUUUCGUCCGCUUUUGCACGGUGUCUGAAACGAACAGUGCAUCGCGGUGAUAUACCGAGGUAAUAGAGUUUCACCGUGUGUGUAUAUUUGAAGCAUGCGAACGCGAAUUGAGUUUGAUCGGUGAUAGUAAUCAAUUACACGUGAAAGUAAUUAAUCACGAUAUAAUCUUUUGACAAUGAAACGCACAGUCUCUUGUUUACGUACGGAAAUCUCGACAUUUUGUUUGAAAUUCGCGUUAUGCGUUAAAAAUACCCGUUUUAUUUAAUAUAUUCCGUGGUAGUAAGGACUCAUAGUGCACCGGGCGUAUAACAAUGAAGCAAAUAUUACGAGGGAGAGAAUUUCUGAUUGACGGUGCAGAUGAUAUACGAGUUUCCUAACAAGAUAUCCUGUUGUUUCACGAUGAAUCGCGCAGAUAUUUGAAUCGAAACGAGAUUCCCUGGAAUUUCGGUCGAUGGUUGCAUUCAAGGGAAACUGUAAAUAGUUAGCGAGAACACGAGCGUUGUUUCCCGCAGAAAACUUAAAACGACUGCAUCAGAUCGAGUAUAAAAGAACUUUUUCCUAUAGCCCAUGUAUACCGCGUUAAUUGUUGUUGUCCGAUAAAUCGUAGUUAACCGGUCUUCCCAAUUAAAUUAAUUAGCUUUUGAACAAUUGUCAAAGGGAACGAACAUCUUACAGGAAUAUCGUGACAGAGCGAGUCUCCUCCGAACUAUGUCAGUCCUGGAAUUAAUAAACGAAACAUAUAUAUACAUAUUUCGAGUCAUCGAACGUUGCAAAUAAAAGGAGAUCGAGGUAUAGGGACUGUUUUACAGGAACGGUUAAGCAACAAAAAGAUCGAGGUAAAUGGGCAAUUCCUCCAAGAGAGUGGUAGUUAACCGAUGAAAAAAAAUUCCAAUUCGAGAGAUAUGAAAGCGGUUUUUCGUUUGGCCCGUGUAAAUAACUGCGUCCGAUUUAUGGAGCGCAUCACAGCGUAAUUUAGGAUAGGCGAGCUCAGCUUCUCUGUUGGGCGUAAAAUACAUACCGCGGAGAGGCUGCUCCUCGAAGCAUGUUCACUCAUUACCGUGACUUAAGAAGAAGCGAAGCCCGGGUAAAGGCGAAAUUGAGUGAAACGAGAUUAAAACUCGGAACGAAAUACUGUGUAAAUUCAUUGCUUCGGGUGUCUGGCUCGAUGAAAGGAGCGACCGUUGCACGCGGAGCAAGGAAUUUCUGAUAGCGUUAAAAUGCACGUAACGAGCGCUCUGCUAGCUUCCCGUGCACCCUUCCUUGCCUUCGUACCGCUCUCCUCUUUCAGCUUUUCUCCGUUGCGCGCGCGGUUCCUUCGAUCGCUCGUUUUCUUUAAUCGACGAAUCCCUCGCAGUGGCUCACGGCUCAACGACGAACGCCUAUUUCAUCCGCCGGCUGCAUUUAGUUUUUUCCCCUCUCCACCAAGCAUCGACUGUUUCAGUGUAAAUUACAUACAUUACGGAUAUCUUUCGCUCCAUUCAUUGUCCAGAGAAUCGAAAUUAAAGAGGAGCAAAGAUCUAUACAUUCACGCGAAGCAUCGCGUGUUUCUUUCCACCAGGAAAGAUGCUCCACCGACGUAUCUUGAUAUUUCGAUAUAAGUUUCGCUACUCUUUCGUCCUUAAAACGAAGCGACGAUAUCGUCGUUGUACGAAAUGGUAACAACGUUAGAAGUCGUCUAUCGCUGUGUACGUGUGUCUUUUUUCACAUUUUUAUUUCGAUUACGCGAAACACGGAGGCUGCGCGAGUCUGACGUUGUUUGUGCGUAAAUUAAAAAUAUUUGGCUCGUUGUGGCUCGCGGGAGUGAACGUGGUAAUUGAAUCGAGCGAAGCACGGAACAAAUGAAAUAUCCGUUUUAUUUCUGUUGCGCGUGGCUGCCACGCUCUGAAAAUUCCAGCAGCUUCGUUUUCUCUGCAAUUAUACGUAUACGCGAUACCUUUCUGGCGAUGGAGAACACAACUUACUUGCAACGCGUGUCUCGUUAUAUAUCAUAACGGCCGUGCAAACCUACCAAAGUGAAAUACGAAGUUUCGCGAAGUUCCAAAUCCCGCAUGGAACGCUAACUACGUGAAAUGUUUUCACUUGAAGCUCGAAAAACGGCGACGAGAAUGUACUUGUUUCGCUUCGAGCGUGGGUUUAUCGUUUUACCGGCGAGAGAAUGAGACAGAGCGUUUAACAUUUACGACGCUCUAUAGUUUUUACAUCGAUGGGGAAUUUAUACUUUACGCCGAAUUCGAAAAUGAUACGAUAAAUAAAUGAAUAACAUUUCCAAUUU
Bombus pyrosoma is the source of this 11243-nucleotide RNA transcript. It is a transcript of the gene named TWiK family of potassium channels protein 18-like, with no coding region annotated. Lineage: Eukaryota; Metazoa; Arthropoda; Insecta; Hymenoptera; Apidae. The transcript is spliced from 7 exons. The record is from RefSeq and is a predicted model, not a curated record.